CAAGCGUGUCAUCCCCAGAUGCAAUGGACAAUAUGCUAUUAUGAUUGUAUGGCAUUGUCCUUGGUGUUUGGAGAUAAUACUGCUGAC
Dasypus novemcinctus (nine-banded armadillo) is the source of this 87-nucleotide microRNA precursor. NCBI's taxonomy places the organism in Eukaryota, Metazoa, Chordata, Mammalia, Cingulata, Dasypodidae. The record is from Ensembl.